This 45-nucleotide non-coding RNA is filed under the name Trichobilharzia regenti. Lineage: Eukaryota; Metazoa; Platyhelminthes; Trematoda; Strigeidida; Schistosomatidae. The record is from RNAcentral.
AUCCAGUUGAUGAGUCCCAAAACGAACGAAAUGCGCGUCCUGCAU